UGCGAGGAAUUUGUUGUAUGUCAUUCUUGUCAUAUCUCAUCGAGAAGCAUCGACGUUUUUUUAAUCCCCUUACGAAAUCAUUUUUCAUCUUGGUCACGUAUCUUGAUUCCAAAGCGCAAUACGAUCCACCGCCAGAAAAAUGCUCGAGAUAUGUUCGUGGAACCUAAGCUCUGCUCAACUAUUUCAUGCACGUUCAUAAUAUUACUGAAGAAAAUUAUGAGAGAAAACAUUACAACACUUGGCGGGGAUGUUUACCUGAAUUGGAACCUUAGAUUGCAGUCCUUAGAUUUCAGUUAUAACAGGGGCGUGCUGGAACUGCAAGAACAACAACAAAUGAGCAAAAUUUUAGGGGUUACAUGUUUGUAGAUGUAGAUCGUCCAGAGAAUCUUUGCCAUGGGUCUUGCUCAUUCUUCAAUUCAACCUUGGAAAGAUUAUGCGCGCAUAGUAUGAGUUGUGGACCAACUCGACUUGUUGUUUCUGUGUGUGUGCGAAUUACUUUCUUUGUUAGAAGAUAUGCAAGUGACGCAAUUAACGACUAAUAAAAUUUUAUUAAUAUGUUA
Long non-coding RNA from Xenia sp. Carnegie-2017, 560 nucleotides. RefSeq lists it as uncharacterized. The transcript has 2 exons. The record is from RefSeq and is a predicted model, not a curated record. NCBI's taxonomy places the organism in Eukaryota, Metazoa, Cnidaria, Anthozoa, Malacalcyonacea, Xeniidae.